CGAACGCUGGCGGCGUGCUUAACACAUGCACGUCGAACGGAAAGGCCCUGCUUUUGUGGGGUGCUCGAGUGGCGAACGGGUGAGUAACACGUGAGUAACCUGCCCUUGACUUUGGGAUAACUUCAGGAAACUGGGGCUAAUACCGGAUAGGCGCUCCUGCUGCAUGGUGGGGGUUGGAAAGUUUCGGCGGUUGGGGAUGGACUCGCGGCUUAUCAGCUUGUUGGUGGGGUAGUGGCUUACCAAGGCUUUGACGGGUAGCCGGCCUGAGAGGGUGACCGGCCACAUUGGGACUGAGAUACGGCCCAGACUCCUACGGGAGGCAGCAGUGGGGAAUAUUGCACAAUGGGCGGAAGCCUGAUGCAGCAACGCCGCGUGCGGGAUGACGGCCUGCGGGUUGUAAACCGCUUUCGCCUGUGACGAAGCGGGAGUGACGGUAAUGGGUAAAGAAGCACCGGCUAACUACGUG
Molecule: ribosomal RNA, 466 nt
Filed under: uncultured bacterium
Lineage: Bacteria
Description: partial 16S ribosomal RNA
Rfam family: Bacterial small subunit ribosomal RNA
Source: RNAcentral